RNAcentral lists this ribosomal RNA (433 nucleotides) under uncultured bacterium. RNAcentral's name for it is "partial 16S ribosomal RNA". It matches the Rfam family "Bacterial small subunit ribosomal RNA", at positions 29 to 507 of the family's 1533-position model. The record is from RNAcentral.
AACGAACGCUGGCGGCAUGCCUAACACAUGCAAGUCGAACGAGACCUUCGGGUCUAGUGGCGCACGGGUGCGUAACGCGUGGGAAUCUGCCCUUGGGUUCGGAAUAACAGUUGGAAACGACUGCUAAUACCGGAUGAUGACGUAAGUCCAAAGAUUUAUCGCCCAAGGAUGAGCCCGCGUAGGAUUAGCUAGUUGGUGAGGUAAAGGCUCGCCAAGGCGACGAUCCUUAGCUGGUCUGAGAGGAUGAUCAGCCACACUGGGACUGAGACACGGCCCAGACUCCUACGGGAGGCAGCAGUGGGGAAUAUUGGACAAUGGGCGAAAGCCUGAUCCAGCAAUGCCGCGUGAGUGAUGAAGGCCUUAGGGUUGUAAAGCUCUUUUACCCGGGAUGAUAAUGACAGUACCGGGAGAAUAAGCUCCGGCUAACUCCGUG